This 69-nucleotide transfer RNA is filed under the name Camelus bactrianus (Bactrian camel). It matches the Rfam family "tRNA". From Rfam's summary of the family: Transfer RNA (tRNA) molecules are approximately 80 nucleotides in length. Their secondary structure includes four short double-helical elements and three loops (D, anti-codon, and T loops). The record is from Rfam by way of RNAcentral. RNAcentral also lists the same sequence under 1 other name. Lineage: Eukaryota; Metazoa; Chordata; Mammalia; Artiodactyla; Camelidae.
GGCAGAGCUCAGUGGUAGCGCGUGUGCUUAGCAUGCACAAGAUCCUGGGUUCAAUCCCCAGCACUUCCA